RNAcentral lists this signal recognition particle RNA (99 nucleotides) under Desulfuromonadales bacterium. RNAcentral describes it as "signal recognition particle sRNA small type". It matches the Rfam family "Bacterial small signal recognition particle RNA". Rfam says of the family: The signal recognition particle (SRP) is a universally conserved ribonucleoprotein involved in the co-translational targeting of proteins to membranes. The record is from RNAcentral. Lineage: Bacteria; Pseudomonadati; Thermodesulfobacteriota; Desulfuromonadia; Desulfuromonadales.
AGCCGGGUCCCGCGCAACGGACGGUCGUGAACCCCGUCAGGCCCGGAAGGGAGCAGCGGUGACGACCUCAGCCGUGUGCCGCGGGGGUGCCUGGCUGUC